UUAUUCAUCACAGAAGUUGGUUCUGUUUAACCACAGAUUAAAAGGGAAUCGUGUGAAAAUCACGAACUGUCGCGCAACUGUAAGUAGCUAAAAGUCUUUAUAAGGAAUCCACUGUGCUAUGUGUAUGGGAAGGAAAUAAAGAUGUUACAAGUCAGGAGACCUGCCUAUUUCUUUAAACAAGA
RNAcentral lists this non-coding RNA (182 nucleotides) under Chryseobacterium piperi. Lineage: Bacteria; Pseudomonadati; Bacteroidota; Flavobacteriia; Flavobacteriales; Weeksellaceae. The record is from RNAcentral.